Molecule: ribosomal RNA, 165 nt
Filed under: uncultured bacterium
Lineage: Bacteria
Description: partial 16S rRNA
Rfam family: Bacterial small subunit ribosomal RNA
Source: RNAcentral
UAGGGAAUCUUCGGCAAUGGACGAAAGUCUGACCGAGCAACGCCGCGUGAGUGAAGAAGGUUUUCGGNUCGUAAAACUCUGUUGGUAGAGAAGAACGUUGGUGAGAGUGGAAAGCUCAUCAAGUGACGGUAACUACCCAGAAAGGGACGGCUAACUACGUGCCCG